UGUUAAGAGCAGAACUUACUUUUAUAGAAUUUCAAAGUUAGAAGGAAACAUUAUUUUUUCCAAAUGUCUAACUUUAUAGAUGAGUAAACCGGAGCUCACCCUGGUUAGAUCAUUGAGCUAGUUAAUGGCAGACGUGGUUUCCAAACUCCUUGUCUAGUCCUUAUUGAAACAUUUUCCUUCUAUGAUAAUGUUCUCCACUUUGGGUACUCUGGUUGCUGGCUUUGGGUAAGACAGAGACUAAAUAACUCUUCUUUCCUCUCCCUUCUUUUAGUGCUGUCUGGCAUCUUUCAUCUCAAACCUGUCAUAGAAGAAAAAAAACUAAAGGAAGGAACUACACUGGGCAUGAAAAGACAUGGAUUCUUAUCCUUUUCUUUUUAAAUCACUAACCAACUUCUGAGACUUUGGAUAUGUUACUUCAAAAAAUAAUAAUUACUAUCUAUUGAGCACCUACUGUUUACCAGGCAUUGUGUUAGGCACUUUACAUACAAGCCCCUAUAUAUAAGUGUCUGCUUGUCUAAAAUAAGAGAGUGUGCUACAUGUCGUCCAGUGUCCCACCCAGUUCCAGGAGUGGGUGACCGUAAGGAGCUAUCUUUCUUAGAACAUUCUUACAGUUCCUGAGGCUUCUUUAUUCUCCUCUUUCCUGUUUCCUAGCUGGCAGUGGUAAGGUUGCUGUAGAAUAAAGCUCUAUGUCAACUCCACUGUAGUGAGUCCUGGGCUGUGUCGUCCUCCUCUUUACUCUCCCAAAGGGCUUCCCACUUUUCCAUAGGAAUGGGCUUGACUCUUACUAGCCCCUGUUAGGGUUUCCAUGAUUGUAUGACUUCCUCUCUCCUUAGACUCUCCCUGUGGAUCUUUGAUUCACUCUGAUGCCUUCUUUUUCUACCUGUGGGCUCAGAGAAGUCAAAUAAUUUGGAAAAGGUCACCCAGAUUAUAUAUAAGUAGCAGAACCGGCAACUGUCUGACUCCAUUGCCUUUGUUAUUUCUGCUAUAAUAUGAUUCCUGUCUCUGAAAUUUCACUUGGGUCUAUUUUUCCCACCCUGACUUAAGAUCGAGCUGAAGCCUGCCUUUUCCAUCAUCACCUUAGCCUGGCCACAUUUUCUUCCCUCACAAUUUCCCCACUAGAUAUUGUCUGCACUACACAUCAGGCCCCACUUGGGGACUUAGAUCUUAGGAGACCCUAUAGUUUAAGUGGUUAUAAAUGUGGGGUCUGGAGUCAGAGGGCCAAAGUAUGAAUUCUGGCUCUACUACAAGUCUAUGCAACCUUGGGAAAAUUCCUUAACCUCUCUGGGCCUCCAUUUCCUCAACUACAAACUAGAGAUACUGGAACCACUUACCUCCUAGAGUUGCUGUGCAGAAGUAGCACAAUGUCUGAUACACGAAAGAAGGACUCAGUGAACUGAUUCUAUUACCAGAUCUUGGGCUGAGUUCUGACUGGUCCAAGCUAAGCAACAGUCUUGCCAGAAUGAUUGACAGUAAUCUCUUGGAGUCUUUCUCCACCAGUACAUACAGAUCUAUUUCAUUCAUAUGUGCCUGUUAUUUGUCUGGACUUUUAGUUAGACCACUUGGUUGGACGCCUAGCAGCAGAGAUGGAAAGGAAAGAUGCUCUGGACAAAGGAGACAGGCAAGUGCAUGCUCUGCAGGGGGGCUAAGGAUGGGCUGGCAUGGCAGGAACCAUCAGCCACCUCGGGGAAGCACGGGAAUGGAGAGACCUCAGC
Manis javanica (Malayan pangolin) is the source of this 1712-nucleotide non-coding RNA. The record is from RefSeq and is a predicted model, not a curated record. NCBI's taxonomy places the organism in Eukaryota, Metazoa, Chordata, Mammalia, Pholidota, Manidae.